AAGCGUCGGCCAUCUACUCCUCCCAGAUGCGAUGCCGACGUUGAAUUCGGUGCACCUCCUCCCGCACCGCAUUCGAAAAUCAAGCCCGCUGCCACCUCCUCCCGGCAGCGGGCUUUUUUC
This is a non-coding RNA of Mesorhizobium sp. LSHC420B00, 120 nucleotides long. Lineage: Bacteria; Pseudomonadati; Pseudomonadota; Alphaproteobacteria; Hyphomicrobiales; Phyllobacteriaceae. The record is from Rfam.